RNAcentral lists this microRNA (23 nucleotides) under Oreochromis niloticus (Nile tilapia). RNAcentral's name for it is "oni-miR-10737". The record is from miRBase by way of RNAcentral. Lineage: Eukaryota; Metazoa; Chordata; Actinopteri; Cichliformes; Cichlidae.
UCUUGGAGGGUUUGCUACAGUGC